AAUCUUGCGCAAUGGGCGAAAGCCUGCCGCAGCCAUGCCUCGUGAAUGAGGAAGGACGGAGGAUGGUAAAUUUCUUUCAUUGGGGACGAUAAUGACGGUACGCAGACAAGAAGCACCGGCUAACUUCGUGCCAGCAGCCGCGGUAAGACGAAGGGGGCUAGCGUUGCUCGGAAUUACUGGGCGUAAAGGGCGCGUAGGCGGACAUUUAAGUCAGGGGUGAAAUCCCAGGGCUCAACUCUGGAACUGCCUUUGAUACUGGGUGUCUUGAGUGUGAGAGAGGUAUGUGGAACUCCGAGUGUAGAGGUGAAAUUCGUAGAUAUUCGAAAGAACACCAGUGGCGAAGGCGACAUACUGGCUCAUUACUGACGCUGAGGCGCGAAAGCGUGGGGAGCAAACA
Molecule: ribosomal RNA, 397 nt
Filed under: uncultured bacterium
Lineage: Bacteria
Description: partial 16S ribosomal RNA
Rfam family: Bacterial small subunit ribosomal RNA
Source: RNAcentral